GAUGAACGCUGGCGGCGUGCCUAAUACAUGCAAGUCGAGCGAACAGAUGAGGAGCUUGCUCCUCUGACGUUAGCGGCGGACGGGUGAGUAACACGUGGAUAACCUACCUAUAAGACUGGGAUAACUUCGGGAAACCGGAGCUAAUACCGGAUAAUAUAUUGAACCGCAUGGUUCAAUAGUGAAAGACGGUUUUGCUGUCACUUAUAGAUGGAUCCGCGCCGCAUUAGCUAGUUGGUAAGGUAACGGCUUACCAAGGCAACGAUGCGUAGCCGACCUGAGAGGGGGAUCGGCCACACUGGAACUGAGACACGGUCCAGACUCCUACGGGAGGCAGCAGGAGGGAAUCUGCCGCAAUGGGCGAAAGCCUGACGGAGCAACGCCGCGUGAGUGAUGAAGGUCUUCGGAUCGUAAAACGCUGUUAUUAGGGAAGAACAAAUGUGUAAGUAACUAUGCACGUCUUGACGGUACCGAAGCAGAAAGCCACGGCUAACUACGU
Molecule: ribosomal RNA, 496 nt
Filed under: uncultured bacterium
Lineage: Bacteria
Description: partial 16S ribosomal RNA
Rfam family: Bacterial small subunit ribosomal RNA
Source: RNAcentral